CUGUCAGUAAAAGGAAGUGCAGACGGUCACUGCUGGAAGAGCCUGGGUUUCGACCUGGGGAAUCUGUCACCAGAGUUGUCAGGGGGUGCCAAUUCCUUCUGCCCACAGGACAGAGGCCCACGGCAUGCCUGGCAUGUAGGGAUGUAUUUGAAAGUGUUACUACUUUACAGCUGUGUUCAGAAACGGCCUCAACACUGAAAUUCUGGAAGAGGAGUGCAGGAUCUCACACCUACGUGUGUGUGAGCGAAUCAUCCUCACAAGUUUUUACUUUUGGCUGAGGAAUUGCCACAAGCCACUGAACUUGGAAUCAAUCCUGGCUCUGCCUUAUGCUAUGUGAGUGACUGUGGGCUGGUCACUUGACCUCUCUGAACCUCAGGAGCUUUGAGACGAAGGUGAUGCGAGUUAAAGUAAAUCGGUUGUAUCUCAAGCCAGGAUUCUUCUCCAGAUUUGACCUCCCUUCCCUGGACUCCUCAGAAGGACUUGGUUCAGGCCAGAGACAAGCUUCUGCAGGGAGGCCUGGGUUGAGGUUCACUGCAGCUCUAAGAGCCUGUCCUGCUCUGGUCGCAGUGGGGGCCCAGGCUCCUGAGCCAGGCGCUGAGAAGCACGUGUGAAUAAGGCAUGUCCGCUGCCUGCAAGAAGCUUCCACCUGGUGACUCUUCAAAAAAAAACCAGUAAAACAAAACAUGCACGUGCAAGACCGUAGCCGCAAAUUCGCAGUCACGCAGAUAUACACCAAAACCAGCACAAUAAAAACAGCGCUAUCUGAGCCAAUAGCUGAAGCC
This is an RNA transcript of Globicephala melas (long-finned pilot whale), 782 nucleotides long. RefSeq lists it as uncharacterized. Lineage: Eukaryota; Metazoa; Chordata; Mammalia; Artiodactyla; Delphinidae. The record is from RefSeq and is a predicted model, not a curated record.